RNAcentral lists this ribosomal RNA (500 nucleotides) under uncultured bacterium. RNAcentral describes it as "bacterial SSU rRNA". It matches the Rfam family "Bacterial small subunit ribosomal RNA", at positions 21 to 507 of the family's 1533-position model. The record is from RNAcentral.
GGCUCAGGAUGAACGCUGGCGGCGUGCUUAACACAUGCAAGUCGAACGGACUUGAUUGGAGCUUGCUCCGAUCAAGUUAGGUGGCGGACGGGUGAGUAACGCGUGGGUAACCUGCCUCACACUGGGGGACAACAGUUGGGAAACGACUGCUAAUACCGCAUAAGCAUACAGUGUCGCAUGACACAGUGUGAAAAACUCCGGUGGUGUGAGAUGGACCCGCGUCUGAUUAGCUAGUUGGUGAGGUAACGGCCCACCAAGGCAACGAUCAGUAGCCGGCCUGAGAGGGUGAACGGCCACAUUGGGACUGAGACACGGCCCAGACUCCUACGGGAGGCAGCAGUAGGGAGUAUUCGGCAAUGGGGGAAACCCUGACCGAGCAACGCCGCGUGAAUGAAGAGGGUCUUCGGAUUGUAAAAUUCUGUUAUAAGGGAAGAACGAUACUUAUAGGAAAUGAUAAGUAAGUGACCGUACCUUAUGAGAAAGCCACGGCUAACUACGUG